This 557-nucleotide long non-coding RNA is filed under the name Triticum aestivum (bread wheat). Its description in RNAcentral is "long non-coding RNA (TAES_LNC023547)". The record is from RNAcentral. Lineage: Eukaryota; Viridiplantae; Streptophyta; Magnoliopsida; Poales; Poaceae.
GGGUUUAAAGACAAUAAGUCCAAAUAUCCCAGUCUUAAGGGUUGUUCUGAACUCCCAGGUCCAAUAUAUUUUGCCACUGAAACUUGUAGUUGUGUAUUUAUGUCGACCCCAACAUGAUUCUUUUGUUUGAAUAUUUCACUUGGCUAUGCAGGACGUGAAUUCAACAUGCCUUCAUACAUCUUCUUUUGAUGGCCGCCAUCGAAGCUGUUGAGGCUAAUAUUGACGCGAUGGGGAAAAGCUACCUAGACAAAGCUAUUAUGUGUUUUCUUAGUUUUAAAGUUGUUGCAGAAGAAGGUAAUGAGAGGUUCAGUGACAUGGUCCAUUAAGUUAGCUUCAUACCUUCAUGUGUGGCAUCUCCUCUUUUUUUAAAGGGGGUACCUUUGUCUUUAAUAAAAUUGACAUCAAAGUCCUGACAAUGGCUAUUCGUUUUGCAUAAAGAUCAUUAAAGAUGAGUACAGCUGUCUGUGAGUUGCAGUUUCUUAUCCGAGCAGUCUAAUAUUCAUAUUGUUUGAAAUUGUAGUCACUGAAGUUCUCGCUCUCCUUAAACAGUAAUUCAG